This 177-nucleotide ribosomal RNA is filed under the name Bacillus spizizenii. RNAcentral describes it as "partial 16S ribosomal RNA". It matches the Rfam family "Bacterial small subunit ribosomal RNA", at positions 1 to 174 of the family's 1533-position model. Lineage: Bacteria; Bacillati; Bacillota; Bacilli; Caryophanales; Bacillaceae. The record is from RNAcentral.
UUAUCGGAGAGUUUGAUCCUGGCUCAGGACGAACGCUGGCGGCGUGCCUAAUACAUGCAAGUCGAGCGGACAGAUGGGAGCUUGCUCCCUGAUGUUAGCGGCGGACGGGUGAGUAACACGUGGGUAACCUGCCUGUAAGACUGGGAUAACUCCGGGAAACCGGGGCUAAUACAGGAU